UGGGGAAUAUUGCACAAUGGGCGCAAGCCUGAUGCAGCCAUGCCGCGUGUGUGAAGAAGGCCUUCGGGUUGUAAAGCACUUUCAGCGAGGAGGAAGGGUAGUGUGUUAAUAGCACAUUGCAUUGACGUUACUCGCAGAAGAAGCACCGGCUAACUCCGUGCCAGCAGCCGCGGUAAUACGGAGGGUGCAAGCGUUAAUCGGAAUUACUGGGCGUAAAGCGCACGCAGGCGGUUUGUUAAGUCAGAUGUGAAAUCCCUGCGCUUAACGUGGGAACUGCAUUUGAAACUGGCAAGCUAGAGUCUUGUAGAGGGGGGUAGAAUUCCAGGUGUAGCGGUGAAAUGCGUAGAGAUCUGGAGGAAUACCGGUGGCGAAGGCGGCCCCCUGGACAAAGACUGACGCUCAGGUGCGAAAGCGUGGGGAGCAAACA
Molecule: ribosomal RNA, 427 nt
Filed under: uncultured bacterium
Lineage: Bacteria
Description: partial 16S ribosomal RNA
Rfam family: Bacterial small subunit ribosomal RNA
Source: RNAcentral